CCUACGGGAGGCAGCAGCAGGGAAUCUUGCACAAUGGGCGAAAGCCUGAUGCAGCAACGCCGCGUGUGGGAUGAAGGCCUUCGGGUUGUAAACCACUUUCAGGAGGGAAGAAGUUGACGGUACCUCCAAAAGAAGCACCGGCCAACUACGUGCCAGCAGCCGCGGUAAUACGUAGGGUGCAAGCGUUAUCCGGAAUCAUUGGGCGUAAAGAGCUCGUAGGCGGUUCAGCAAGUCGGCUGUGAAAGUUCAAGGCCCAACCUUGAAAAUGCAGUCGAUACUGCUGUGACUAGAGUCUGGUAGAGGAGAAUGGAAUUCCCGGUGUAGCGGUGGAAUGCGCAGAUAUCGGGAGGAACACCAGUAGCGAAGGCGGUUCUCUGGGCCUCGACUGACGCUGAGGAGCGAAAGCAUGGGUAGCAAACAGGAUUAGAUACCCUGGUAGUCCAUGCCGUAAACGUUGGAUACUAGGUGUGGCGUCCCGAUCAACGGAUGCCGUGCCGAAGCUAACGCAUUAAGUAUCCCGCCUGGGGAGUACGGCCGCAAGGCUAAAACUCAAAGGAAUUGACGGGUCCCCGCACAAGCGGCGGAGCAUGCGGCUUAAUUCGAUGCAACCCGAAGAACCUUACCUGGGUUUGACAUCAUGGGAAAAGCUGUAGAAAUACAGUGUCCGUAAGGGCCCAUGACAGGUGGUGCAUGGCUGUCGUCAGCUCGU
This 709-nucleotide ribosomal RNA is filed under the name uncultured bacterium. RNAcentral's name for it is "bacterial SSU rRNA". It matches the Rfam family "Bacterial small subunit ribosomal RNA", at positions 338 to 1063 of the family's 1533-position model. The record is from RNAcentral.